AACGAACGCUGGCGGCAUGCCUAACACAUGCAAGUCGAACGAUCCCUUCGGGGAUAGUGGCGCACGGGUGCGUAACGCGUGGGAACCUGCCCUUAGGUUCGGAAUAACUCAGAGAAAUUUGAGCUAAUACCGGAUAAUGUCUUCGGACCAAAGAUUUAUCGCCUUUGGAUGGGCCCGCGUUGGAUUAGCUAGUUGGUGGGGUAAAGGCCUACCAAGGCGACGAUCCAUAGCUGGUCUGAGAGGAUGAUCAGCCACACUGGGACUGAGACACGGCCCAGACUCCUACGGGAGGCAGCAGUGGGGAGUAUUGGACAAUGGGCGAAAGCCUGAUCCAGCAAUGCCGCGUGAGUGAUGAAGGCCUUAGGGUUGUAAAGCUCUUUUACCCGGGAUGAUAAUGACAGUACCGGGAGAAUAAGCCCCGGCUAACUCCGUG
Molecule: ribosomal RNA, 433 nt
Filed under: uncultured bacterium
Lineage: Bacteria
Description: partial 16S ribosomal RNA
Rfam family: Bacterial small subunit ribosomal RNA
Source: RNAcentral